GGGUUGGCAUUGUACAAGGCCAAAAGAGGCACUGGAGACCACAGCAUACUGAAGACAUCAGGACCAUGGGAUGAUGACCAAGGACAAGAGCAGGUGUGGAGUGGGGCAAACCUGAACCUGAGACAAGGGUGUGUGUGUGUGUGUGUGUGUGUGUGUGUGUGUGUGUGUGUGGCAAACCUGAACCUGAGACAAGGGUGUGUGUGUGUGUGUGUGUGUGUGUGUGUGGCAAACCUGAACCUGAGACAAGGGUGUGUGUGUGUGUGUGUGACAGAUGGUAGAGCCAGAAAAGUGGGCCUGCUCAAGCCCUUUAGAGCCCAGAAGAUCAUCAAUGAGUCCCCAAAGGUGGUCACUGAACUUUUUACAGUGUUGGAUUUUGGUUUUGAUUUGAUUGUAAUUGUGCCUUGGUUCUUCCCUCUAGGGAUAAGAAAGUAUGUAACUUAUUUUGGAUUUUAUAGGAGCCUACAUUAAGAGACUUUGGAUUUUAAAGGAGAU
RNAcentral lists this long non-coding RNA (492 nucleotides) under Nannospalax galili (Upper Galilee mountains blind mole rat). RNAcentral describes it as "lncRNA (ENSNGAG00000024457.1)". The record is from RNAcentral. Lineage: Eukaryota; Metazoa; Chordata; Mammalia; Rodentia; Spalacidae.